GUGCUUACUUUGGCUGCACAUAUACUAAACUUGGAACGAUACAGAGAUUAGCAUGGCCCCUGCAUUAGGAUGACACGCAAAUUUGUGAAGCAUUCCAUAUUUUU
RNAcentral lists this small nuclear RNA (104 nucleotides) under Carlito syrichta (Philippine tarsier). The record is from RNAcentral. Lineage: Eukaryota; Metazoa; Chordata; Mammalia; Primates; Tarsiidae.